AUGUCUCUUCUUUGUGCUGUCAAGGACGCUGCACCUCCCAUGUGGAUACGCUUCUCCUCUCAACAAUAAAAUUGCUUCGACAACGGAACGUGAACGGCCUUUAGGUCACAGAGAGAGAGAGAGUUGAAUCCUUCAUCGAUCAGUAUGGAGAAGGAUAAGAAAUAGAAGAAAUGGAGUGGUUUUGGCCGGAGAAGAACAACGGUGGAGUUAUUUUGGAGACGGAGGAUGUGGCGGCCAAACAUUUAUCUAGAGAAGGGACAAUGAGUCAUUAUAGUUUCAGCAAAGGUCUUCUUCCGCCGCUCGGAGUCGGAGCCGCCGGUCGUUCUAACCGUCAUAUUAAGCUCUGUUGCCUCAUCGUCUCUCCCUUCGAUCCUCGCUACAGAGCGUGGGAUCCUCCGUUUCUGGCCUGCUCGAAACGUGAAAAAAGCUGGACAACUCAUGGGGGUUGAUUUCCUUCUGAUUGACGAAAAGUCUACUUUGAUGCAAGGCUCCAUUUACGUCACCCACCUUCCCAAAUUCGAACACGCUCUGCGUGAUGGGGCUUUGUAUAAAAACAAAAGAGGUUGUUUCUUCCGUCUUCAGUGGAGAGGAAGGUUCAGAGGAAUGAUAGUACACGAUCAAGCCAAACAAGAAACAACACGGUUUGAGAAGACGAUACAAAAGGAUGAUGUAAUGAUUGAGAGACUCAAUUCGAAGCUUCUUAUUGCGAAUGAUCAGUUAGAAGCAGUAUCUGCAGCUGAAGAAAGAAUCAGCUCUCUUGCUGACAAUUUAACUACUUCACUUGAGAAGCUAAAGAAUGAUAAAGAAGCUACAAAGAAAGAGGGGCUUGAGCUAAAAGAAGAAGCAACGGUCAUCAAGAGUGAAGUACAGAACACAAAAAUAGGAAUUGGUGAAAAGGAGAGAGUUGCUUUCAAAGUUAGAUGAGCUUGAGAAAGCUAAGCACGCAGAGGCUUUAGCUCUCGAGAAGCUCGAGUCUAUAGCAGAGAAGACAAUGGAAACUCGGGAAAUGGAAUCUCAGAGAAGUUCAACCAUCACAAUCUCAAGAUUUGAGUACGAGUAUUUGAGUGGACAAGCUUGUCACUCGAAAGAAACUGCAGAGAAAAAAGUGGAAGCUGCAAUGGCGUGGGUUGAAGCACUCAAGGCUAGCACUAACGCGAUUUUGUUAAGGACGGAAUCUUUAAAGAGAGUGAGUGGGAAAACAAUAGUGGAAGAAGAAAGGGCAUCGUUCAGGAUGCAUAGGUCGCUAUCGAUAAAGAGACUGGUCCAAAAUGAGAUUCAAAAGUUCAAGCAGAAGUCAGAAGACUAUGGCGUGAUCAGGUCUCCUAAACCUAUAAGAAAAUCGCUUCAAAGUCACAAAGAGAACUCAGGAGACAAAGGCUUGAUCAACUCUCCUAGACCGGUAAGAAAAUCGGCAAGGCUGAGCGGGAAGUUCACACCGGUUCCGGGAGGGAAGUCGAGAAGAUACUCAUCAGGGAACAGAGCGACUCCAACGUUCUUUGUAAUCAAGAAGAAGAAGAAAGUUCCAAGCUUGGUUAAAUUAUAUAGCAGGAAAAGGCGCUUCUCCGCAUGAAUCACUUUAAAAGAAAAAAAAAAAAGAGGAUUUUCGUCGCUAUGUGGGGUUUAACAAAGAAAAAGGAUGAGAGGUGGUGAUACAGUCAUUAUAAAAGUUUAUCUGCACUAUUUAUAUGUGAUCAAGGGAUGGGGAAAAACAUAGGCAGCGAGCAAGCAUGUGAUUUUUUUUACCAGAUGGGUCUGACUUCUGAGAAUAUAUACACACAAACUAAUAUUGUGCAC
This is a non-coding RNA of Camelina sativa (false flax), 1794 nucleotides long. Lineage: Eukaryota; Viridiplantae; Streptophyta; Magnoliopsida; Brassicales; Brassicaceae. The record is from RefSeq and is a predicted model, not a curated record.